Molecule: unclassified non-coding RNA, 181 nt
Filed under: uncultured fungus
Lineage: Eukaryota; Fungi
Description: sequence contains ITS1
Source: RNAcentral
UUGAUUUGAUUCAAAAUAUUACUCCGACGCGAAGAUGCAGUGUUAAGUGGUCCACCGGGGGCCCCAAGACGCCCGAAGGCCGGGUCGCCCCCGAGGCAACAGGGUCAGAUAACAUGGGGUUGGAGGUCGGGCCUGGGGCCCUCGCUCGGUAAUGAUCCCUCCGCAGGUUCACCUACGGAGA